UCUUUUCGCAUCGAACGUGUUCGGGGUUCGUUGGUUGGUCGGCUGGUCGGCUAGUCGGUUCUUCAGCUCGUCGGCGGCACCUGCUCCAUAGCGACGCCAUACGCACUGGGCCAAGAUCCGAAGCUAUGGCCAGCUAUAGGCCUGCCUAACGGGAAUGCUGCGCUCUACGGGCACGUAGCACGUAGCAUGCUGCACGCAAUUAACCCACGACACAGAAAGAAAAGCUAUUGAUUUCCCAUUGACUGUGCAUAAUCAAAGCAAAGAUCUGAAAUCCCAUCUCCGGGGCAUCACAACUUGGCCAAGCACAAAUAUAUACAUGCAUAUGAUGUCUUUCCAGCUCAGAUCAUCACCGCUUUUGAAUAUCUUAAAUGACAAGAAGUUAACGCAUGCCCAAAAGAUUCGCCGGUGAGUAAUGGAGCAGUGGACGCACCCUGGAUGUAUGGAAACCUUGAACUCCGCGAGCAGACAAAGAGUAGCUGGAUAUCCUUGACAACUGUCUUCUUUAUGAAUUGAGUGAAAUAUGUGAUGCCUUCAAGACAAUACCUCUCAUACUUGCAUUUAUCAUAAAUCUCUUUACUCGUAGACCUUUUUUAAAAGUGACUCAGAGGGAUUAGCCAGAACUAAGAACUAAACUUAUUGUCUGCUCCCUUUUUAAAAAAUACCAUAUGCUCGUACAUGGACUGAUUAAAAUACAAUCAUUCUGCAGAAAACAUAUUUUUGGAAAUGCUUUCUACGACAACAACAAACUUGAAAUCAUUCGAUAGCCAAUAACUUGUUUGGCAUCUUAUCCAAUUUUUAUGUAACCCCAAAACGACCCGUGACAGUUUGUCCAACCGAUUGGCAUGUUAAGUUUGGCUACUUAAGCAUCCAAAAGAGAAAAUAUGUAUAAAACUAAGAUCGAAAGAAAAAUGCUUUUAGAUUAUGCAAAAAACAAACAAGAAAGUUGGAAUCAGAGGCCAUCGUUUUAGUCAGAGCUAUCUUUUUUAAAGCAAAUGCCUGACUUGUUAUUGGCAUGUAUCAGAGUCAUAUAACUCAGUUAUUAGACAGCGGCGUUUAAGGGAAUGUUUGAAAACAUGUUUUAAUAAUUGAUUUAUCAUUCACAUAUGUAGUUCUUGUAUAAGUAUGCAUUUUCUAUAUAGUAGUUAACAUAUGGUGCUGAUGUUUCUUUUCUCUACAUUCAAUUUGAACUGUUUUCGUUCCGUUCGAUAAUUAUACAUAUGUACACAAACACGAAGCCCUGAAGGGACGCUAUGGGUCUCCCGAAUACAUAUUAUAUAGUUAUCUAUGGGGCCAAUGCUGAUAACAAUGGGAGGAGGAGCCGCGGAAACUGAGAAAUCUAGGCUUGGGUCUGAACACUUGACAAAAAUUUGCCUGGGCCGGCAAUAAUACUCGCUACAUACAAACAUACAGACUCGGUAUCAUAAUAUAAUAUACAUUAAACAAUUCAAUAACAAGGGUAGGGGGACAAA
Long non-coding RNA from Drosophila mauritiana, 1469 nucleotides. RefSeq lists it as uncharacterized. NCBI's taxonomy places the organism in Eukaryota, Metazoa, Arthropoda, Insecta, Diptera, Drosophilidae. The transcript is spliced from 2 exons. The record is from RefSeq and is a predicted model, not a curated record.